Molecule: ribosomal RNA, 253 nt
Filed under: uncultured microorganism
Description: partial small subunit ribosomal RNA
Rfam family: Bacterial small subunit ribosomal RNA
Source: RNAcentral
UACAGAGGCCUCGAGCGUUAGGCGGAAUCACUGGGCUUAAAGCGUGUGUAGGUGGAUGCCUAAGUACCUUGUGAAAUCCCAUGGCUUAACCAUGGAAUGGCUUGGUAUACUGGGUGUCUUGAGCCACUCAGGGGCUACUGGAACUAACGGUGGAGCGGUGAAAUGCGUAGAUAUCGUUAGGAACGCCAAUGGUGAAAACAGGUAGCUGGGGGUGUGCUGACACUGAGACACGAAAGCCAGGGGAGCGAACGGG